AAAAAUGGCUGGGUUAUUUUUUAACCCAAAAUGCUGGGUUGAGUCUGUUGGGUUGUUUUGCUGGGUUAUUUUUUUACAUUUUAAACACUUUUUGGGUAGUUUCAGUUUUCUAGGUGUUGGGUUAAAACUGCUGGGUUAUUAUGUUGGGUUGUUUGAAGAGGCUCAUGUGCUUCGCGCCUUUGAUGUUUGAAUGUGCUCAGCAACAGUCCACGUGAAAGGACAGAGUCACUGGAAGCGGUUGUUUCAAGAGUGUGCAGAGUUUUAACGUCCAUCCAUUGAUGAGGCUAGCAAGACCUUCAUACAACUUCAGCCAAUUGCAACAAAUGUGGUGGAAUUUCUUCUCUGGACAGAAUCCUCGAAACCCUUUCCUUUCGUCCUGGCCAUGGGAAACAUGCAGCAGAUCUCUCAAUCUUUUUUCUCAAUCAGUCUCUCUGAAUACGGAAGUGACUUAAACUGCAAUUCGGCCAAGAUGGCAACGGCAUGCACCGCC
This is a non-coding RNA of Misgurnus anguillicaudatus (oriental weatherfish), 490 nucleotides long. Lineage: Eukaryota; Metazoa; Chordata; Actinopteri; Cypriniformes; Cobitidae. The record is from RefSeq and is a predicted model, not a curated record.